CUCAAAGGAAUUGACGGGGGCCCGCACAAGCAGCGGAGCAUGCGGCUUAAUUCGAUGCAACGCGAAGAACCUUACCUAGACUUGACAUAUACGGAAAACAUGCAGAGAUGUAUGGUCCUAACGGGCCGUUUACAGGUGGUGCAUGGUUGUCGUCAGCUCGUGUCGUGAGAUGUUGGGUUAAGUCCCGCAACGAGCGCAACCCUCGUUCUAUGUUGCCAGCACGUAAUGGUGGGGACUCAUAGGAGACUGCCGGGGUCAACUCGGAGGAAGGUGGGGAUGACGUCAAAUCAUCAUGCCCCUUAUGUCUAGGGCUGCACGCAUGCUACAAUGGCUGGUACAAAGGGCUGCGAUACCGCAAGGUGGAGCGAAUCCCAAAAAGCCAGUCUCAGUUCGGAUUGGGGUCUGCAACUCGACCCCAUGAAGUUGGAGUUGCUAGUAAUCGCAGAUCAGCAACGCUGCGGUGAAUACGUUCCCGGGCCUUGUACACACCGCCCGUCACGUCACGAAAGUCGGUAA
This 516-nucleotide ribosomal RNA is filed under the name uncultured Actinomycetes bacterium. RNAcentral's name for it is "bacterial SSU rRNA". It matches the Rfam family "Bacterial small subunit ribosomal RNA", at positions 900 to 1417 of the family's 1533-position model. Lineage: Bacteria; Bacillati; Actinomycetota; Actinomycetes. The record is from RNAcentral.